This 239-nucleotide ribosomal RNA is filed under the name uncultured bacterium. RNAcentral's name for it is "partial 16S ribosomal RNA". It matches the Rfam family "Bacterial small subunit ribosomal RNA", at positions 16 to 244 of the family's 1533-position model. The record is from RNAcentral.
AUCCUGGCUCAGGAUGAACGCUAGCUACAGGCUUAACGCAUGCAAGUCGAGGGGAAACGACAUCGAAAGCUUGCUUUUGAUGGGCGUCGACCGGCGCACGGGUGAGUAACGCGUAUCCAACCUGCCCAUCACUUGGGAAUAACCUUGCGAAAGUAAGAUUAAUACCCAAUGAUAUCCCACGAAGGCAUCCGAAUGGGAUUAAAGAUUUAUCGGUGAUGGAUGGGGAUGCGUCUGAUUAG